Acanthosepion pharaonis is the source of this 99-nucleotide non-coding RNA. Lineage: Eukaryota; Metazoa; Mollusca; Cephalopoda; Sepiida; Sepiidae. The record is from the annotation of a GenBank genome assembly.
CUUAAAACACUGGUUCCCAUACGAUCACCGAAAUUAAACAACGCCGAGACUGGUUAGUACCUUCUUGGGUGGCCGCUUGGGAAUACCAGGUGCUGUAAG